RNAcentral lists this ribosomal RNA (466 nucleotides) under uncultured bacterium. RNAcentral describes it as "bacterial SSU rRNA". It matches the Rfam family "Bacterial small subunit ribosomal RNA", at positions 28 to 508 of the family's 1533-position model. The record is from RNAcentral.
GACGAACGCUGGCGGCACGCUUAACACAUGCAAGUCGAACGAGAGAAGAGAAGCUUGCUUUUCUGAUCUAGUGGCGGACGGGUGAGUAACACGUGAGCAAUCUGCCUUUCAGAGGGGGAUACCGAUUGGAAACGAUCGUUAAUACCGCAUAAUAUAAUUGAACCGCAUGAUUUGAUUAUCAAAGAUUUAUCGCUGAAAGAUGAGCUCGCGUCUGAUUAGCUAGUUGGUAAGGUAACGGCUUACCAAGGCGACGAUCAGUAGCCGGACUGAGAGGUUGAUCGGCCACAUUGGGACUGAGACACGGCCCAGACUCCUACGGGAGGCAGCAGUGGGGAAUAUUGCACAAUGGAGGAAACUCUGAUGCAGCGAUGCCGCGUGAGGGAAGAAGGUUUUAGGAUUGUAAACCUCUGUCUUCAGGGACGAAAAAUGACGGUACCUGAGGAGGAAGCUCCGGCUAACUACGUGC